RNAcentral lists this long non-coding RNA (226 nucleotides) under Lathyrus oleraceus (garden pea). RNAcentral's name for it is "Pisum sativum (pea) long non-coding RNA (PSAT_LNC015622)". The record is from RNAcentral. Lineage: Eukaryota; Viridiplantae; Streptophyta; Magnoliopsida; Fabales; Fabaceae.
UUUUGUUUCGAAUGAAUAAGCUGGCCCAUUUUGCAACAAAAUGAGUGUAAGGAGUACAAUUGCUAGAGGUCUUGAGUUUAACUCUCACCUUUCCAACUUUUUGUGCAUUUUUUUCUUUUUAUAUGUUUUUACCUUUAUUUCUUUUUUUAUUUAUAUACAAAAUCACAAAAAAUCAAAGAUGGAAUUUUUAUUUUUAAUUUUCGUAUUUUUAAAUUAAGCACUUUUU